This 74-nucleotide transfer RNA is filed under the name Marmota monax (woodchuck). RNAcentral describes it as "tRNA.Ala". Lineage: Eukaryota; Metazoa; Chordata; Mammalia; Rodentia; Sciuridae. The record is from RNAcentral.
UGGUUGGGGAUGUUCAGUGGUAGAGUGUGUGUUUGGCAUAUACAAGGUCCUGGGUUCAAUCUUCAGCCAUGCAA